AUUGAACGCUGGCGGCAGGCUUAACACAUGCAAGUCGAGCGGGGGAAGGUAGCUUGCUACCGGACCUAGCGGCGGACGGGUGAGUAAUGCUUAGGAAUCUGCCUAUUAGUGGGGGACAACAUCUCGAAAGGGAUGCUAAUACCGCAUACGUCCUACGGGAGAAAGCAGGGGGUCUUCGGACCUUGCGCUAAUAGAUGAGCCUAAGUCGGAUUAGCUAGUUGGUGGGGUAAAGGCCUACCAAGGCGACGAGCUGUAGCGGGUCUGAGAGGAUGAUCCGCCACACUGGGACUGAGACACGGCCCAGACUCCUACGGGAGGCAGCAGUGGGGAAUAUUGGACAAUGGGGGGAACCCUGAUCCAGCCAUGCCGCGUGUGUGAAGAAGGCCUUAUGGUUGUAAAGCACUUUAAGCGAGGAGGAGGCUACUCUAGUUAAUACCUAGGGAUAGUGGACGUUACUCGCAGAAUAAGCACCGGCUAACUCUGUGCCAGCCGCCGCAGUAA
Molecule: ribosomal RNA, 501 nt
Filed under: uncultured bacterium
Lineage: Bacteria
Description: partial 16S ribosomal RNA
Rfam family: Bacterial small subunit ribosomal RNA
Source: RNAcentral